RNAcentral lists this ribosomal RNA (434 nucleotides) under uncultured Oscillospiraceae bacterium. RNAcentral describes it as "partial 16S ribosomal RNA". It matches the Rfam family "Bacterial small subunit ribosomal RNA", at positions 341 to 792 of the family's 1533-position model. The record is from RNAcentral. Lineage: Bacteria; Bacillati; Bacillota; Clostridia; Eubacteriales; Oscillospiraceae.
ACGGAAGGCAGCAGUGGGGAAUAUUGGGCAAUGGGGGAAACCCUGACCCAGCAACGCCGCGUGAAGGAAGAGGGCCUUCGGGUUGUAAACUUCUUUUACCAGGGACGAUAAUGACGGUACCUGGAGAAAAAGCAACGGCUAACUACGUGCCAGCAGCCGCGGUAAUACGUAGGUUGCAAGCGUUGUCCGGAUUUACUGGGUGCAAAGGGCGUGUAGGCGGAGCUGCAAGUCAGAUGUGAAAUCCCGGGGCUCAACCCCGGAACUGCAUUUGAAACUGUAGCCCUUGAGUAUCGGAGAGGCAAGCGGAAUUCCUAGUGUAGCGGUGAAAUGCGUAGAUAUUAGGAGGAACACCAGUGGCGAAGGCGGCUUGCUGGACGACAACUGACGCUGAGGCGCGAAAGCGUGGGGAGCAAACAGGAUUAGAUACCCUGGUA